UGAUAUGCGUUGAAGCGGGAGGUUGCGGCUCGGCACCAGACUGUAGCCGGUUUUUCCGUGGAGUAUGUCCGAUUUUAAACCGGGCGA
Molecule: regulatory RNA element, 87 nt
Organism: Ruminiclostridium sp.
Lineage: Bacteria; Bacillati; Bacillota; Clostridia; Eubacteriales; Oscillospiraceae
Rfam family: S10-Clostridia ribosomal protein leader
Source: Rfam